Molecule: ribosomal RNA, 440 nt
Filed under: uncultured bacterium
Lineage: Bacteria
Description: partial 16S ribosomal RNA
Rfam family: Bacterial small subunit ribosomal RNA
Source: RNAcentral
CCUACGGGUGGCAUCAGUGGGGGAUAUUGCUCAAUGGGGGAAACCCUGAUGCAGCGACGCCGCGUGGGUGAAGAAGCGCCUCGGCGCGUAAAGCCCUGUUAGCCGGGAAGAAAAUGACGGUACCUGAAGAAGAAGCCCCGGCUAACUACGUGCCAGCAGCCGGGGUAAUACGUAGGGGGCAAGCGUUAUCCGGAUUUACUGGGUGUAAAGGGGGUGCAGGCGGGGAUGCAAGCCAGGAGUGAAAGCCCGGGGCCCAACCCCGGGACUGCCCUUGGAACUGCGUGGCUAGAGUGCAGGAGGGGCAGGCGGAAUGCCUGGUGUAGCGGUGAAAUGCGUAGAUAUCAGGAAGAACACCGAUUGCGAAGGCAGCCUGCUGGACUGCAACUGACGUUGAGGCCCGAAAGCGUGGGGAGCAAACAGGAUUAGAUACCCCAGUAGUC